GCGGGUGUGGCGGAAUUGGCAGACGCACUAGACUUAGGAUCUAGCGGGAAACCGUGGGGGUUCGACUCCCUUCACCCGCACCA
This 83-nucleotide transfer RNA is filed under the name Bacillus anthracis (anthrax bacterium). RNAcentral's name for it is "tRNA-Leu". It matches the Rfam family "tRNA". From Rfam's summary of the family: Transfer RNA (tRNA) molecules are approximately 80 nucleotides in length. Their secondary structure includes four short double-helical elements and three loops (D, anti-codon, and T loops). Further hydrogen bonds mediate the characteristic L-shaped molecular structure. tRNAs have two regions of fundamental functional importance: the anti-codon, which is responsible for specific mRNA codon recognition, and the 3' end, to which the tRNAs corresponding amino acid is attached (by aminoacyl-tRNA synthetases). tRNAs cope with the degeneracy of the genetic code in two manners: having more than one tRNA (with a specific anti-codon) for a particular amino acid; and 'wobble' base-pairing, i.e. permitting non-standard base-pairing at the 3rd anti-codon position. Lineage: Bacteria; Bacillati; Bacillota; Bacilli; Caryophanales; Bacillaceae. RNAcentral also lists the same sequence under 2 other names. The record is from RNAcentral.